This 319-nucleotide long non-coding RNA is filed under the name Gossypium barbadense (sea-island cotton). RNAcentral describes it as "long non-coding RNA (GBAR_LNC016243)". The record is from RNAcentral. Lineage: Eukaryota; Viridiplantae; Streptophyta; Magnoliopsida; Malvales; Malvaceae.
UACAAAUACAAAUGUAUUAGCAUCAUGCAUGGUCUCAAUACAAACCCCGUCCAAUCUGAUCCCGCACCUGAACGCUUAAAGCUGCAUGAAACCUAUAUAGGAGUACAUUUGUACAGGAGGGGAAUCAUAUAGCUGAGAGGAGAAUUUAGCAUAUUUGAAAUUUAUCAGUAUCACUAAUAAAUUAUAAAUGACCUUGGCAUGGCAGUCAGUGGACUUUCCGGGGGGGAAAGUUUCCUAUACUUCCGAAAUGAGUUUCAUCUCAGAAUCUUCACAGACCAGAGUACCUUGCUAUCGAGUUCUGGAAGAUGAUGGAGACUUG